UGGCUCUCGCAUCGAUGAAGAACGCGGCGAAAUGCGAUAAGUAAUGUGAAUUACAGAUUUCAGUGAAUCAUCGAAUCUUUGAACGCACCUUGCGCUCCUCGGUCUUCCGAGGAGCACGCCUGAUUGAGUGCCCAGAAGUACACUCAGCCCAACACCUUGUUGUGAUGGGUUGGAUUGGUGGGGGCUUUGCCGUAGUCUUUUUAGACCAUGGCUCCCUCUGAAUACAUUAGCUUGCCCAUAAAGGUCUUGCCCUUGGCUUGAUAAUUACGUCGACGCCGUGUGGUGGAUCCUGUAAGGCUGCUUCUAGCCAUCUGCUUGUCAGACAACUUCUUUUGACCUCGGGCCUCAAAUCAGGUAGGAUUACCCGCUGA
RNAcentral lists this unclassified non-coding RNA (371 nucleotides) under uncultured fungus. Its description in RNAcentral is "partial contains 5.8S ribosomal RNA and internal transcribed spacer 2". The stretch from base 1 to 133 matches the Rfam family "5.8S ribosomal RNA", at positions 22 to 154 of the family's 154-position model. Lineage: Eukaryota; Fungi. The record is from RNAcentral.